Molecule: transfer RNA, 73 nt
Filed under: Polyphaga plancyi
Lineage: Eukaryota; Metazoa; Arthropoda; Insecta; Blattodea; Corydiidae
Description: tRNA-Ile
Source: RNAcentral
AAUGAAGUGCCUGAAAAAUUCGACAAAGGAAUAUCUUGAUAGGAUAUAUCAUGUAGUUAUACUACCUUCAUUA